GACUGAAAUUCUCUGGUCCCUGCCACCCACAUUACAAUGAUAAAAGGAAAAUUUGCAUGGGUCCUGCAAAAGGAUGACAUGAAAAUUUGUGAAUAGUUUCAGCUUUUU
Small nuclear RNA from Ochotona princeps (American pika), 108 nucleotides. Lineage: Eukaryota; Metazoa; Chordata; Mammalia; Lagomorpha; Ochotonidae. The record is from Ensembl.